GUUUUAAGCAUUUAAAAUCAAGAGAUUUUAAAUUUAAUUCUCACUAUUAUUUAGUUAUUAUUUUAUUUAUAUUUAAUUGGAUUAAUUAUAAAAAAUUAGUGGAAUUAUUAAAUAUUUUUUUAAAAAAAUUUACUUCAAAAUGCACUUUUAAUAGUUUAAUGUUUAUUUUGUACUACAAAACUUAAAGGGUUGAAAUUUUUAUAACCUUUUUCUCUUUAUAAAUUUAUAAUAUAACAAAAAAUUUUUAAAAAAGUGUUUAAUAAAACUUUGAUUUAUCUAUUUUGUUUCCAUGUAUCCAAGUAUCUAUCAAUCUCUCUCUCCUCCCAUGGUAGAGCUCAUAUUUUUUCUCCCU
This 352-nucleotide unclassified non-coding RNA is filed under the name Hevea brasiliensis (rubber tree). Lineage: Eukaryota; Viridiplantae; Streptophyta; Magnoliopsida; Malpighiales; Euphorbiaceae. The record is from RNAcentral.